RNAcentral lists this transfer RNA (66 nucleotides) under Diaphanes mendax. RNAcentral describes it as "tRNA-His". Lineage: Eukaryota; Metazoa; Arthropoda; Insecta; Coleoptera; Lampyridae. The record is from RNAcentral.
AUUUAAGUAGUUUAAUAUAAAACAAUGAUUUGUGGUAUCAUAGAUAUAAAUUUGUCAUUUUAAAUU